This 1611-nucleotide long non-coding RNA is filed under the name Mus caroli (Ryukyu mouse). RNAcentral describes it as "RIKEN cDNA 4921507G05 gene (MGP_CAROLIEiJ_G0004918.1)". The record is from RNAcentral. Lineage: Eukaryota; Metazoa; Chordata; Mammalia; Rodentia; Muridae.
GCGGUGCAGCCUGCCGCCUCGGUUUGGUCGCUAUGCAACCUCUCGCUGCUUUAAAUUUAAUUUCUUACCUUAGUGAGUAGGCGACCUUGGUGGGACUGACUCUUCCCAGCUCUCCCGAGAAUGUAACGAGAAUGUAACGAUGUUGAACCAGACGAGAACAAUUUCCUUGAGCUUUAACUGCCUGUAACACUAGUUGGAGCCUGUUCUUGACAACACCUACAGUUGAGCAUCAAAGCAGCCUGAUAGCUACUGCUGUGUAAUUUCCCAGAAUUCACAAGCAGGACUUCAGUUUCUCUAUGGAAAAUGUUCUGCCUUCCUCUGACUGUGUGUUCCAGAGCUCUAUGUCAAAAUUUAAAAAUGUGAAGAGGAAGAUAAAAGCUAGAACUCAGUGACUGAACUCGGCUUUGUGUGCACGAAGCCCUGAGUUUGAUCACUAGCCCCUGCAGAGGGGAGAGAAAAAGGACAAGCUUAGAGUCACGGAGCCUUAGUGAAGAAAGCCAGGAGAAUCAACUCAGGUGUCCAGAAAAAGCAAGAGACACAGAAAAAGGGGUUGUCACACAUUCGUGCUAUUAGUCCCAGCACUGUGGCUUGGGGCUAUGGGUGGAGGCAAGCUGAUCUCUGGGAGUUCAAGGCCAGCCUGGGCUACAUAGUUCCAGCUACAUAGACUUUGGAAAAUGCUUUUAUCCUUCGACACUCCAGCUUUCCUGUCAGGUGACUCUUUCCACCAGAUCUUUUGAUACAGAAGUGGUGGGGACACCACCACUGCCCUUGCUGCAAACUGUCUUUCUUAAAUCGUAGGCUAGCUCCCAAUGUGAUAACCUUGGGAUAGACUCACAGAAGCACAGGGGGCAUGACAUUGAAUAUUUCACUGGCCAUAAAAGACAGAGGAGUGUGGCCUUCCAAUUGCUUCUAAUUCUCUUCUAGAAAUCCCCAGUUAUUGGUGUGGUGGGGGCAGAGGCAAAAUGGGGGUCACACACGAAAGGAGAGCUCAUCACUUCCCAGGAGUCACCAAUGGAUGAUGGACGUCCAAAGUGAGGGAGACAAGCCCCUGGGGCUGCCGGGAGAGGGAUCCAGCACAGGAUAGGGAAGGCUGAGAAGAUGAGCUGGGCAGCAGGCAUGGAGAACAGCCAACUCAAGACUUCAGCAAGAAGCCCUUGAAGGCAUCUCCGGCUAAGAGCCAACAGACAGACAAAAAGAGAACAACUGCUCUCUGGUCUCGUGCAUUUGACUGUCCAGAAAAGGAACUCAACGAAAUCGAGUCAGGCCAACGACUCUCAUGUAGAAAGCUAAACAACAGAACACAGGGCAACACAAAAAGUUCUACUAGAAGGAAACAUAGGGCUGCGGGUGCGCUGAUUUGGUAGUUUAGCUUGUAUGAAGCCCAGGGUUCGAUUCCCCAGCACGGCAUAAAAUUCAGCCUUGCCAGUGAGUGCCUAUAUUCCUAACCUCAGGGAGAUGGAAACAAGAGGAGCGGUUCAAUGCCAUGCUCAGCUAUGAGGCUAGCCUGGACUAAAUGAUACUAUAGCUCAAAAACUCGAACAAAUGAAAAAUCAGAAAGUGGUCUAUUUAAAAUGCUGUAUAUCCACUCCCUUAAGAAAACUUAAUUUUCUG